UCCGGGAGUUGGUGAUGGACAGGGAGGCCCGGCGUGCUGUGAUUCAUGGGGUCACAAAGAGUCGGACACGACUGAGUGACUGAACUGAACUGAACUGAAACUGAACCAAGUAAUUACUUCUGCUUCAAAUGUCUUUUGUGUGAUGGGUUUAAAGUCCUUGCUUUUUUGCUCAACUCUCUUUCACCAAGAGAAAGAAUACACUAGGUAAUAAUUAUUAUAACAUAUCUACACACAUGUAAAUAUAUAAAUGCCCAUAUAAGGAAGGAUAUAAGU
RNAcentral lists this long non-coding RNA (273 nucleotides) under Capra hircus (goat). RNAcentral describes it as "lncRNA (ENSCHIG00010000780.1)". Lineage: Eukaryota; Metazoa; Chordata; Mammalia; Artiodactyla; Bovidae. The record is from RNAcentral.